Molecule: non-coding RNA, 903 nt
Filed under: Rattus norvegicus (Norway rat)
Lineage: Eukaryota; Metazoa; Chordata; Mammalia; Rodentia; Muridae
Description: Eukaryotic small subunit ribosomal RNA
Rfam family: Eukaryotic small subunit ribosomal RNA
Source: Rfam by way of RNAcentral
UAGCUGGUUUCUAGAGGGCAAAUCAGGAAAAUCAUAUUUAAAAUGUGAAUUAAAAAAAUCGCCUCCCCCAAUGAAAGAAAAAGAAAGAAAAAUAGAGAAAGAAAAAGGAAAACAAAUGGGGGUACGUAACUAAACAGAUGCUGACUGGCGAUGCGGCGGCGUUAUUCCCAUGAUAGUCAAGCAUCUUCUGGGAAACCAAAGUCUUUGGGUUCUGGGGGGAGUAUGGUUGCAAUGCUGAAACUUAACAGAAUGGACAGAAGGGCACCACCAGGAGUGGAGCCUGCAGCUUAAUUUGACUCAACAGGGGAAACCUCACCCGGCCUGGACACAGACAGGAUUGACAGAUUGAUAGCUCUUUCUCGAUUCCGUGGGUGGUGGUACAUGGCCGUUCUUAGAAAGGUGGAGCGAUAUGUCUGGUUAAUUCCGAUAAGGAACUAGACUCUGGCAUGCUAACUAGUUACGUGAUCCCCUAAGCGGUCAGCAUCCCCCAACUUCUUAGAGGGACAAGUGGCGUUCAGCCACCCGAGAUUGAGCAAUAACAGGUCUGUGAUGCCCUUAGAUGUCCGGGGCUGCAUUAGCGCCACACUGACUGGCUCAGCGUGUGCCUAUCCUACAAGGGCAGGCACGGGUAACCCAUUGAACCUCAUUCGUGAUGGAGAUCGGGGAUUGCAAUUAUUCUCUAUGAACAAGGAAUUCCCAGUAAGUGCCGCUCAUAAUCUUGCGUUGAUUAAGUCCCUGCCCUUUGUACACACCACCCUUUGCUACUACCGAUUGGAUGGUUUAGUGAGGCCUGAUCAGCCCAUGGCCCUGUCGGAGGGCUGAGAAGAAGGUCGAACUUGACUAUCUAGAGGAAGUAAAAAUCAUAACAAGGUUUCCGUAGGUGAACCAGUGGAAGGAUCAUUA